UGACAAUUUACUGCUUGCUCUCUAAUAUCCGAAAAAAGAAUAGAAAAUUCUAGACAUUUCUAGUCUACAACUAUAGAUCAAUACCAUCUCUAUAUGAAUGACAAAAGGUUCCAUGAAGAAAGGAAAAGAACCUGGAUUUCCUAUUUCUUAGAGAUAUAUAAAGCAAAUUAUAGGAUUCUUACUUCAGAAGAACAAUGAAGAGAUUAUAUAUCUCAUCAGAGGACAAUUUCAAUAAUCAGACCGUCAACAUAAAGAUUCUCAAGGGAGAAGACUUUAAAUAGCUUCAUUGAUUUUAGAUAUAUAAAGCUUAUGUAGGGAUGUUACGAGUGACAAUGAAAUGUAA
RNAcentral lists this unclassified non-coding RNA (343 nucleotides) under Hevea brasiliensis (rubber tree). Lineage: Eukaryota; Viridiplantae; Streptophyta; Magnoliopsida; Malpighiales; Euphorbiaceae. The record is from RNAcentral.